RNAcentral lists this ribosomal RNA (446 nucleotides) under uncultured bacterium. RNAcentral's name for it is "partial 16S ribosomal RNA". It matches the Rfam family "Bacterial small subunit ribosomal RNA", at positions 338 to 795 of the family's 1533-position model. The record is from RNAcentral.
CCUACGGGUGGCAGCAGUCGAGAAUCAUUCACAAUGGGGGAAACCCUGAUGGUGCGACGCCGCGUGGGGGAAUGAAGGUCUUCGGCUUGUAAAUCCCUGUCAUGUGGGAGCAAAUUAAAAAGAUAGUACCACAAGAGGAAGAGACGGCUAACUCUGUGCCAGCAGCCGCGGUAAUACAGAGGUCUCAAGCGUUGUUCGGAAUCACUGGGCGUAAAGCGUGCGUAGGCUGUUUCGUAAGUCGUGUGUGAAAGGCGCGGGCUCAACCCGCGGACGGCACAUGAUACUGCGAGACUAGAGUGAUGGAGGGGGAACCGGAAUGCUCGGUGUAGCAGUGAAAUGCGUAGAUAUCGAGAGGAACACUCGUGGCGAAGGCGGGUUCCUGGACAUUAACUGACGCUGAGGCACGAAGGCCAGGGGAGCGAAAGGGAUUAGAUACCCGGGUAGUC